AAUACCAUGUGGUUUUUCUUUUUAAGGCCAAUGAAGACUGCAAUGCUUCGUCUGCUCAAACCACAACCUCGGGGGAACCAGGAACUGAUUUUAGGCAGCCCGAUGGUCGUGGACCAUGAAAGAAGCUCAACCACGGGAUUACGAAGUUCAUGCCGCUCAAGAAGACCUUUGCGCUGCAAUCCAAGUUAGAACGGCGCAAUGGAGCAUUUGG
Lolium rigidum is the source of this 211-nucleotide long non-coding RNA. RefSeq lists it as uncharacterized. The transcript is spliced from 3 exons. Lineage: Eukaryota; Viridiplantae; Streptophyta; Magnoliopsida; Poales; Poaceae. The record is from RefSeq and is a predicted model, not a curated record.